AGGAUGAACGCUGGCGGCGUGCUUAACACAUGCAAGUCGAACGGUAAGGCCCUUUCGGGGGUACACGAGUGGCGAACGGGUGAGUAACACGUGGGUGACCUGCCCCCUACUCUGGGAUAAGCUUGGGAAACUGGGUCUAAUACCGGAUAUGACAUGUUCCUGCAUGGGGAUGUGUGGAAAGUUUUUGUGGUGGGGAUGGGCCCGCGGCCUAUCAGCUUGUUGGUGGGUGAUGGCCUACCAAGGCUUCGACGGGUAGCCGG
Molecule: ribosomal RNA, 260 nt
Filed under: uncultured bacterium
Lineage: Bacteria
Description: partial small subunit ribosomal RNA
Rfam family: Bacterial small subunit ribosomal RNA
Source: RNAcentral